GUUUCUUUAGCUCAUGGAAAAAAGCACGAGUAAACGAUCAGUUAACCGGAUGGUUCUGCAUUGACGGUUCUGUAUUGGGUGCAUGAUAAUAUGAUCAAGAUAGAUGAAAGAGUGUCUCUUUCUGCAGCUGGAGAUGGUUAUAUUGCAAAGAAAAGAGUUUUGGCUACCAGCCUAAGGAACGGAUUUCGGUUCACCGCCUUUCUCCAGUAUCAUUGCUGAUUGCAGCUGCGAUUUUGGAACUGUUAAGUUUGCGUAAAGAUCAAGAAGCUGCUCAUAAGUAGUUUCAAAGAAACCAGUGUAUCCAUCUUCUAAGCCGGGAAAAGACUUAUACAAGCUGAACCAAAGAAGCACAUUCCUCGUAUAGCUCCAGAGGUUUUGAAUGUGCAAGAGAAGGAUGAAAAGGUAGAUGGAGAUGCAUGUAUCUAUGAGCAAGUUUUCCAUAGUAAGGAUGAGGACAUGAGGCAAGCCAUGAACAAAUGAAUCAUUCGUGAACUGAUAAAUCUCUCUCUGUCUUAUUUUUAACAGCUUAUCUUUUUGUCAUUAAUUUUGACAGAGAAUGUACUUUCUCAGCUGAUUUUGGGUUUGACAGGCAGACUUGAAAAUGAUAGAGCUGUCUACAGAGGAGAAAAAGCUAGGGACUAAAUACAUGAAGAAUAUUUUGUCUUAAAAUUAAGUUAAAGUGAUUCCUUGGUUAAAUCAUUGUCACAUGAAAGAUGUGUUCAUAGAAGUGUAUGCGGUGUUAUCUUUCUUUGUCGAACAUCUCUAUAGACUAUCAUUUUCAACUACUACCAAAGUAAAACUUGGAAGCUAAGAGAAAAAUUGUACAUGCUAUAAUUCAAUAAAGUUUUAGAUAUUAUCCAUUA
This is a long non-coding RNA of Brassica oleracea var. oleracea, 863 nucleotides long. RefSeq lists it as uncharacterized. The record is from RefSeq and is a predicted model, not a curated record. NCBI's taxonomy places the organism in Eukaryota, Viridiplantae, Streptophyta, Magnoliopsida, Brassicales, Brassicaceae. The transcript has 4 exons.